This 831-nucleotide ribosomal RNA is filed under the name uncultured bacterium. RNAcentral's name for it is "bacterial SSU rRNA". It matches the Rfam family "Bacterial small subunit ribosomal RNA", at positions 51 to 893 of the family's 1533-position model. The record is from RNAcentral.
ACACAUGCAAGUCGAACGGAAUCAAGAGGAGCUUACUUUUCUUGAUUUAGUGGCGAACGGGUGAGUAACGCGUGAGUAACCUGCCCUGGAGUGGGGGACAACAGUUGGAAACGACUGCUAAUACCGCAUAAGCCCACGGUGCUGCAUGGUACUGGGGGAAAAGGAUUUAUUCGCUUCAGGAUGGACUCGCGUCCAAUUAGCUAGUUGGUGAGGUAACGGCCCACCAAGGCGACGAUUGGUAGCCGGACUGAGAGGUUGAACGGCCACAUUGGGACUGAGACACGGCCCAGACUCCUACGGGAGGCAGCAGUGGGGGAUAUUGCACAAUGGGGGAAACCCUGAUGCAGCGACGCCGCGUGGAGGAAGAAGGUUUUCGGAUUGUAAACUCCUGUCGUUAGGGACGAUAAUGACGGUACCUAACAAGAAAGCACCGGCUAACUACGUGCCAGCAGCCGCGGUAAAACGUAGGGUGCAAGCGUUGUCCGGAAUUACUGGGUGUAAAGGGAGCGCAGGCGGACCGGCAAGUUGGAAGUGAAAUCCAUGGGCUCAACCCGUGAAUUGCUUUCAAAACUGCUGGCCUUGAGUAGUGCAGAGGUAGGUGGAAUUCCCGGUGUAGCGGUGGAAUGCGUAGAUAUCGGGAGGAACACCAGUGGCGAAGGCGACCUACUGGGCACCAACUGACGCUGAGGCUCGAAAGCAUGGGUAGCAAACAGGAUUAGAUACCCUGGUAGUCCAUGCCGUAAACGAUGAUUACUAGGUGUUGGAGGAUUGACCCCUUCAGUGCCGCAGUUAACACAAUAAGUAAUCCACCUGGGGAGUACGACCGCAAGG